This 947-nucleotide ribosomal RNA is filed under the name Cophinforma mamane. RNAcentral describes it as "eukaryotic LSU rRNA". It matches the Rfam family "Eukaryotic large subunit ribosomal RNA", at positions 1 to 967 of the family's 3401-position model. The record is from RNAcentral. Lineage: Eukaryota; Fungi; Ascomycota; Dothideomycetes; Botryosphaeriales; Botryosphaeriaceae.
GGUUGACCUCGGAUCAGGUAGGGAUACCCGCUGAACUUAAGCAUAUCAAUAAGCGGAGGAAAAGAAACCAACAGGGAUUGCCUCAGUAACGGCGAGUGAAGCGGCAAUAGCUCAAAUUUGAAAGCUGGCCCCUUCGGGGUCCGCGUUGUAAUUUGUAGAGGAUGAUUCGGCGAGGGCUCCCGCCUAAGUUCCCUGGAACGGGACGUCAUAGAGGGUGAGAAUCCCGUAUGCGGUGGGCUGCCUUAGCCAUGUGAAUCUCCUUCGACGAGUCGAGUUGUUUGGGAAUGCAGCUCUAAAUGGGAGGUAAAUUUCUUCUAAAGCUAAAUACCGGCCAGAGACCGAUAGCGCACAAGUAGAGUGAUCGAAAGAUGAAAAGCACUUUGGAAAGAGAGUUAAAAAGUACGUGAAAUUGUUGAAAGGGAAGCGCUUGCAGCCAGACUUGUCCGCAGUUGCUCAGCCGGUCUCCUGACCGGUGUACUCUUCUGCGGCCAGGCCAGCAUCAGUUCGGGCGGUCGGAUAAAGGCCUUGGGAACGUAGCUCCUCUCGGGGAGUGUUAUAGCCCAGGGUGCAAUGCGGCCAGCCUGGACUGAGGAUCUCGCUUCGGCUAGGAUGCUGGCGUAAUGGCUGUAAGCGGCCCGUCUUGAAACACGGACCAAGGAGUCUAACAUCUAUGCGAGUGUUUGGGUGUCAAACCCAUACGCGUAAUGAAAGUGAACGGAGGUGGGAACCCUCACGGGUGCACCAUCGACCGAUCCUGAUGUCUUCGGAUGGAUUUGAGUAAGAGCAUAGCUGUUGGGACCCGAAAGAUGGUGAACUAUGCCUGAAUAGGGUGAAGCCAGAGGAAACUCUGGUGGAGGCUCGCAGCGGUUCUGACGUGCAAAUCGAUCGUCAAAUUUGGGUAUAGGGGCGAAAGACUAAUCGAACCAGUAGCUGGUUCCUGCCGAAGU